RNAcentral lists this ribosomal RNA (303 nucleotides) under uncultured bacterium. RNAcentral's name for it is "partial 16S ribosomal RNA". It matches the Rfam family "Bacterial small subunit ribosomal RNA", at positions 507 to 807 of the family's 1533-position model. The record is from RNAcentral.
AGCAGUAGCCGCGGGAAUACAGAGGGUGCGAGCGUUAAUCGGAUUUACUGGGCGUAAAGCGUGCGUAGGCGGCUUCUUAAGUCGGAUGAGAAAUCCCUGAGCUUAACUUAAGAAUUGCAUUCGAUACUGGGAAGCUAGAGUAUGGGAGAGGAUGGUAGAAUUCCAGGUGUAGCGGUGAAAUGCGUAGAGAUCUGGAGGAAUACCGAUGGCGAAGGCAGCCAUCUGGCCUAAUACUGACGCUGAGGUACGAAAGCAUGGGGAGCAAACAGGAUUAGAUACCCGCGUAGUCCCUGUCUCUUAUAC